RNAcentral lists this ribosomal RNA (1451 nucleotides) under Weissella confusa. Its description in RNAcentral is "bacterial SSU rRNA". It matches the Rfam family "Bacterial small subunit ribosomal RNA". The record is from RNAcentral. Lineage: Bacteria; Bacillati; Bacillota; Bacilli; Lactobacillales; Lactobacillaceae.
UGCAAGUCGAACGCUUUGUGGUUCAACUGAUUUGAAGAGCUUGCUCAGAUAUGACGAUGGACAUUGCAAAGAGUGGCGAACGGGUGAGUAACACGUGGGAAACCUACCUCUUAGCAGGGGAUAACAUUUGGAAACAGAUGCUAAUACCGUAUAACAAUGACAACCGCAUGGUUGUUAUUUAAAAGAUGGUUCUGCUAUCACUAAGAGAUGGUCCCGCGGUGCAUUAGCUAGUUGGUAAGGUAAUGGCUUACCAAGGCGAUGAUGCAUAGCCGAGUUGAGAGACUGAUCGGCCACAAUGGGACUGAGACACGGCCCAUACUCCUACGGGAGGCAGCAGUAGGGAAUCUUCCACAAUGGGCGAAAGCCUGAUGGAGCAACGCCGCGUGUGUGAUGAAGGGUUUCGGCUCGUAAAACACUGUUGUAAGAGAAGAAUGACAUUGAGAGUAACUGUUCAAUGUGUGACGGUAUCUUACCAGAAAGGAACGGCUAAAUACGUGCCAGCAGCCGCGGUAAUACGUAUGUUCCAAGCGUUAUCCGGAUUUAUUGGGCGUAAAGCGAGCGCAGACGGUUAUUUAAGUCUGAAGUGAAAGCCCUCAGCUCAACUGAGGAAUUGCUUUGGAAACUGGAUGACUUGAGUGCAGUAGAGGAAAGUGGAACUCCAUGUGUAGCGGUGAAAUGCGUAGAUAUAUGGAAGAACACCAGUGGCGAAGGCGGCUUUCUGGACUGUAACUGACGUUGAGGCUCGAAAGUGUGGGUAGCAAACAGGAUUAGAUACCCUGGUAGUCCACACCGUAAACGAUGAGUGCUAGGUGUUUGAGGGUUUCCGCCCUUAAGUGCCGCAGCUAACGCAUUAAGCACUCCGCCUGGGGAGUACGACCGCAAGGUUGAAACUCAAAGGAAUUGACGGGGACCCGCACAAGCGGUGGAGCAUGUGGUUUAAUUCGAAGCAACGCGAAGAACCUUACCAGGUCUUGACAUCCCUUGACAACUCCAGAGAUGGAGCGUUCCCUUCGGGGACAAGGUGACAGGUGGUGCAUGGUUGUCGUCAGCUCGUGUCGUGAGAUGUUGGGUUAAGUCCCGCAACGAGCGCAACCCUUAUUACUAGUUGCCAGCAUUCAGUUGGGCACUCUAGUGAGACUGCCGGUGACAAACCGGAGGAAGGUGGGGAUGACGUCAAAUCAUCAUGCCCCUUAUGACCUGGGCUACACACGUGCUACAAUGGCGUAUACAACGAGUUGCCAACCCGCGAGGGUGAGCUAAUCUCUUAAAGUACGUCUCAGUUCGGAUUGUAGGCUGCAACUCGCCUACAUGAAGUCGGAAUCGCUAGUAAUCGCGGAUCAGCACGCCGCGGUGAAUACGUUCCCGGGUCUUGUACACACCGCCCGUCACACCAUGAGAGUUUGUAACACCCAAAGCCGGUGGGGUAACCUUCGGGAGCCAGCCGUCUAAGG